Long non-coding RNA from Carassius carassius (crucian carp), 589 nucleotides. RefSeq lists it as uncharacterized. The transcript has 5 exons. Lineage: Eukaryota; Metazoa; Chordata; Actinopteri; Cypriniformes; Cyprinidae. The record is from RefSeq and is a predicted model, not a curated record.
AACUGGUUUGCUUUAAUGAACGCAUCCUUAUAUUAUGUGUUAAUCAAAUAUUUUGGUCACAGAUCAUUUUAACACACUGUCUCAACAUGUUUACAUUUCAGGAAUGCCUGUCAUGAGAUUUAUGAAGAAGACCAAAAGCUGCAAAGGCAAACACUUCCAAUGUAGAAACUGAGAGUUUGCAUGAUGGCAUUUUCUCAGACGCUGAAUCUGAUGUGUACAGUUGAACUCAGGAGCCUGCUAGAGUUGCCAGGGAACUUGAGCUUGAACUGAAGACCAGAAACGCAAAGCAAAUCAGUCAAACCAGUCCUAAAGAAAUGAGGAAUGAACAUGGACUUCUUGUGCCCAAAAAGAAAAGACAGAAAGCUCCUAGAAUGAGCAAAUCAGCUGUGCAUCAUCUCUGUGAUUUGGGAAGGAAAUGACAGAAUAUGAUGAAGCCAGUUGAUGAAGAUAUCAAUUCAAUGGCCACCGAGUGCAGCACUGCUACCUGAACCCAUCAGUUAUCUGCUGUGAAGACUGCAUUCACAAACCGCUCUACUGCGACAGCUCAGAUGUUACGGCCCGUAAAAUAAACGUCACAGCUAAACAACGA